AAAGAAAGUUUUUCAAAAUUCAAAUUGUUGAAGAAUUACCUGAGAUCUACAAUGUCGCAAGAGAGGUUGAAUGGCUUGGCAACUUUAUGCAUUGAGAAAAUUUUGCUUGAUGAAAUUGAUAUUGAUACUAUCAUUAGUGACUAUGCAUCUCAGAAUGUUAGGAGAAAUUUUUGA
RNAcentral lists this ribosomal RNA (174 nucleotides) under Triticum aestivum (bread wheat). RNAcentral describes it as "partial small subunit ribosomal RNA". Lineage: Eukaryota; Viridiplantae; Streptophyta; Magnoliopsida; Poales; Poaceae. The record is from RNAcentral.